This 90-nucleotide transfer RNA is filed under the name Colletotrichum incanum. It matches the Rfam family "tRNA". From Rfam's summary of the family: Transfer RNA (tRNA) molecules are approximately 80 nucleotides in length. Their secondary structure includes four short double-helical elements and three loops (D, anti-codon, and T loops). The record is from Rfam by way of RNAcentral. Lineage: Eukaryota; Fungi; Ascomycota; Sordariomycetes; Glomerellales; Glomerellaceae.
GGGCGAUUGGUUUAGGGGUAUAAUGUCUGCUUCGCACGAUCCUGAAUUCGUGAUUGCGGAAGGUCCAGGGUUCGAUUCCCUGAUCGUCCA